AUCAGGAUGAUUGAGUGGUUUAAGGUGCCAGACUCAAGUUCUGGUUUUCGUGAGAGUGUGUGGGUUCAAAUCCCACUUUUGAUA
This 84-nucleotide transfer RNA is filed under the name Ipomoea nil (Japanese morning glory). It matches the Rfam family "tRNA". From Rfam's summary of the family: Transfer RNA (tRNA) molecules are approximately 80 nucleotides in length. Their secondary structure includes four short double-helical elements and three loops (D, anti-codon, and T loops). The record is from Rfam by way of RNAcentral. Lineage: Eukaryota; Viridiplantae; Streptophyta; Magnoliopsida; Solanales; Convolvulaceae.